This 369-nucleotide ribosomal RNA is filed under the name uncultured phototrophic eukaryote. Its description in RNAcentral is "SSU rRNA". It matches the Rfam family "Bacterial small subunit ribosomal RNA", at positions 524 to 896 of the family's 1533-position model. The record is from RNAcentral.
UACGGAGGAUGCAAGUGUUAUCCGGAAUCACUGGGCGUAAAGCGUCUGUAGGUGGUUUAGUAAGUCAAUUGUUAAAUCUUGAGGCUCAACCUCAAAACAGCAACUGAAACUGCUAGACUUGAGUUUGGUAGGGGUAAAAGGAAUUUCCAGUGGAGCGGUGAAAUGCGUAGAUAUUGGAAAGAACACCGAUGGCGAAGGCUUUUUACUGGGCCACAACUGACACUCAGAGACGAAAGCUAGGGUAGCAAAUGGGAUUAGAUACCCCAGUAGUCCUAGCCAUAAACAAUGGAUACUAUAUGUUGCACGUUCACCGCAGUGUUAUAGCUAACGCGUUAAGUAUCCCGCCUGGGAAGUACGCUCGCAAGAGUG